Dreissena polymorpha is the source of this 748-nucleotide long non-coding RNA. RefSeq lists it as uncharacterized. The record is from RefSeq and is a predicted model, not a curated record. The transcript is spliced from 2 exons. Lineage: Eukaryota; Metazoa; Mollusca; Bivalvia; Myida; Dreissenidae.
GUAAAAUGUCUAAAAAAGACACAAUUGUUACCACUUUAAAGCCUUAUUUAUAACUCAUUCAUGAUAAUACUUUGCCGGAAUUGUAAUCCUGACAUUGUCUAGGCCAAGAUUGAAUCUGGGUCCCUUGCUUCCCAAACCUAGGUCACCAGGUCAAAUCUUUGAAAAACCUUGUUACUAAUCUAAAGGCCCAGUAUAUGACUCAAACUUGAUGAAACCAGGACAAAAUGUUUAUAUGACAAUAUAAAGGUCAGGUUUGAAUCUGGGUCAGGUGUGGUCAAAAACUAGAUCACUUGGUCAAAUCCUUGAACUCAGAUGAGCGCACAAGGGCCAUUAUUAGAAAAUCGCUAUACUGCCUUCGCUGUGUAGACUUUGUUGACUAUAUCGCGUAUACUAUAUUUGACUCCAUAAUAUAUUUCAUCUGCAAAAACAUUUGAAAAUUGAAAAAAACAAGUUUUGUUAGUAAUGAUUGUGAGUGAAUAUGUAAAUAAUAUUACUUUUUGCUAGUAGCUGUGAAAUAAAGAGCAAUUGCAUACAAGAUAUUUAGAGUAAUAAGAUUAUGAAUGAUUAUGACGUGGUUAUCAUUCACAAUUUUAUUGUAUUAUACCCGGUUCUCGUCGUUAUAUCAUAUAAAGAUAGUGUAUUGUUGUUAGAAUUUGAACUAAUCACGAAGUCAAUCAAAUAUUUAAGGAACUUCUAUCUUUCAAAUGCUGUAGUUUUUGUAUUUCAUAAAUUAAAAUCACCGUUAAGA